UGGGUUUAAAGGGUGCGUAGGCGGUUUGUUAAGUMGCGGUGAAAUCUAGAGGCUCAACCUCGAAACUGCCGUUGAAACUGGCGAACUUGAGUGUAGAUGAGGUAGGCGGAAUUCGUGGUGUAGCGGUGAAAUGCAUAGAUAUCACGAGGAACUCCAAUUGCGAAGGCAGCUUACUAAGGUACAACUGACGCUGAAGCACGAAAGCGUGGGUAUCAAACAGGAUUAGAUACCCUGGUAGUCCACGCAGUAAACGAUGAUAACUGGGCGUAUGCGAUAUACAGUAUGCUCCUAAGCGAAAGCGUUAAGUUAUCCACCUGGGGAGUACGCCGGCAACGGUGAAACUCAAAGGAAUUGACGGGGGCCCGCACAAGCGGAGGAACAUGUGGUUUAAUUCGAUGAUACGCGAGGAACCUUACCCGGGAUUGAAAUGUAGAUGACCGCUCCUGAAAGGGAGUUUUCCUUCGGGACAUCUAUGUAGGUGCUGCAUGGUUGUCGUCAGCUCGUGUCGUGAGAAG
This 515-nucleotide ribosomal RNA is filed under the name uncultured bacterium. RNAcentral's name for it is "bacterial SSU rRNA". It matches the Rfam family "Bacterial small subunit ribosomal RNA", at positions 555 to 1074 of the family's 1533-position model. The record is from RNAcentral.